Molecule: ribosomal RNA, 445 nt
Filed under: uncultured bacterium
Lineage: Bacteria
Description: partial 16S ribosomal RNA
Rfam family: Bacterial small subunit ribosomal RNA
Source: RNAcentral
GUGAGGAAUAUUGGACAAUGGGCGCAAGCCUGAUCCAGCCAUGCCGCGUGCAGGAAGACGCAUCUAUGGUGUGUAAACUGCUUUUGUACGGGAAGAAACACUCCCUCGUGAGGGAGCUUGACGGUACCGUAAGAAUAAGGAUCGGCUAACUCCGUGCCAGCAGCCGCGGUAAUACGGAGGAUCCAAGCGUUAUCCGGAAUCAUUGGGUUUAAAGGGUCCGUAGGCGGUUUAAUAAGUCAGUGGUGAAAGCCCAUCGCUCAACGAUGGAACGGCCAUUGAUACUGUUAGACUUGAAUUACAAGGAAGUAACUAGAAUAUGUAGUGUAGCGGUGAAAUGCUUAGAUAUUACAUGGAAUACCAAUUGCGAAGGCAGGUUACUACUUGUGGAUUGACGCUGAUGGACGAAAGCGUGGGGAGCGAACGGGAUUAGAAACCCCGGUAGUCC